RNAcentral lists this long non-coding RNA (230 nucleotides) under Lathyrus oleraceus (garden pea). Its description in RNAcentral is "Pisum sativum (pea) long non-coding RNA (PSAT_LNC034791)". The record is from RNAcentral. Lineage: Eukaryota; Viridiplantae; Streptophyta; Magnoliopsida; Fabales; Fabaceae.
CUUGAACCUCUUUCACCGGAGUUGGCUCUAUGUAAUAAUCCCCAUUAUCCUCCCCGAAUACCUCUUCAAGUCUAGAUUUCUUCAAACCCGCCAGAACCUUGAGCUCUUCAAUCUGUUCUUGAGCUUUGUCGAGUUGAUCUGUGAUGUAACCAUUGGUCGAACGGGCGCACAAAAGCUCAUUGUUCUUCUCCUUCAGCAGAGUCUUCAACUUCUCCAUCUGACCAGUCAAU